RNAcentral lists this non-coding RNA (45 nucleotides) under Schistosoma mattheei. The record is from RNAcentral. Lineage: Eukaryota; Metazoa; Platyhelminthes; Trematoda; Strigeidida; Schistosomatidae.
AUUCAACUGACGAGUCACGAAUAGGAUGAAACACACGUCUUGGAU